This 564-nucleotide long non-coding RNA is filed under the name Fukomys damarensis (Damara mole-rat). RNAcentral describes it as "lncRNA (ENSFDAG00000031124.1)". The record is from RNAcentral. Lineage: Eukaryota; Metazoa; Chordata; Mammalia; Rodentia; Bathyergidae.
UGAACAACAACUCAAGAAACCAAGCUCUAUCGAAUGCCUUGCCUACUGUAGUAAGAGCCAAAAUUGUGUGUAGCAGUAAGGUCUCUAGGUCUCCCAUCUAGCAUUCUUUUUCUUUUCAGAAGCUGGCUCUCUGGGGCUACUUCCUCCCAUGACAUACCUCUGCAUGCAUGAUCUCAGUUUGUGUUGUCCCAUCAAAGACCAUUACCACUAACUCUAUUGACCUGCAGUUGAAACUUACUAAAGCUGCUCACGCUGUGAAAUUUGGAAUUUAACAGUCCUGGGCUUGUGUCCUGGUGUUUCCACUUACUACUUGGUAAGUUGUAAUUUACUGGUAAAUUCUUUAAUCUCUGUGAAUAGAUCUCAAGUAUAAACAAUGAUUAACAAUACCUGUCUAGAAUCGUGUAAUACAGUGAAGUGAGAGCAAACUGCAUGGAGCAUUCUGAACACGAAUAAAUGUAAAUUUCAGCCUUCACUGUCCUUGAGGGCACGCCUUCUGGUGAUGGGCAUUUGUCCACAUGAAUUCGGUGUUCUUAAGUUUUUCUAGCACCUUCUUUUAAAAGCAAC